UUUAAUCCAAAAAUACCACAUUUUGGUUUUCAUCUCUGAAGAAGAGUAGUGAAUAUUACUCCUUAUGGACAUUCAUCACUAAAUAAUGAUGAUGAAUCCUUGUUCAACUCAUCUAUUCAGUGCAGAGAAAGAAGCAUUUCUUAACAUAGAGAAGUGGAGUAAUGUAGAGGAGCAAGUCUUGAGACAGAAAUCAAAGGCUA
RNAcentral lists this long non-coding RNA (200 nucleotides) under Nicotiana benthamiana. RNAcentral's name for it is "long non-coding RNA (NBEN_LNC017810)". Lineage: Eukaryota; Viridiplantae; Streptophyta; Magnoliopsida; Solanales; Solanaceae. The record is from RNAcentral.